CCUGCCAGCCAGCCAAUGGAUGGGGAAGUAGGAGGAGCCCGGCCCCUCAAGGCAAAGGGUGGAGACAGAGACAACAAGGAAAUACCACACAGCAGUCGGAACAAGGAGAAAAGCAUACUUUGAAAUUGGAAAAAAAAUUAAAGUGAUUCACAAGGAAGCUCAGGACUGGAAUUGAUUGAAACCUGGAUGGGAAGCUGACAGGGUACUCCAUGUAUGUUACAUCAUCGUGACAAGAGAGAUCAGCAAGGAAGAGAAAAUGCAUUCAAUCACAGUCCCCUCUCCUCUGCUGACCUACACUGGUUCUGUGCUUAGGGAUACGCCUUCACAUCGCGGAGCACAAAUUAGCAUUUAGGACUUGAUUUAGAAAUGGGUGAACUAUCUGCACAAAAGCAUAGCAAUAUUAAAGCUCAUUAAGUGGACAAGAUAAUGGCCCAUAAUACAGAAGAGAUGAAUGGUGCUUCAAGGAUCACUUCAUAAAGAACUCUGCCUAUGAAGGCAGCUUUCAUUAUAAACGAUCCCUGACUUUUAUCCAGCAGACUCCCCAGUGAAAUGGAAUUCCACAUGUUCCCUAAGCAAAUGUUUCAUCGGGCAACUGUUAAGUUUUCUCAGUCCCUUAGAGGUAAAGUAAAAUAUUUUUCUCCCAUCUGUA
Molecule: long non-coding RNA, 649 nt
Organism: Hemicordylus capensis (graceful crag lizard)
Lineage: Eukaryota; Metazoa; Chordata; Lepidosauria; Squamata; Cordylidae
Exons: 2
Source: RefSeq, a predicted model, not a curated record